RNAcentral lists this ribosomal RNA (580 nucleotides) under uncultured bacterium. Its description in RNAcentral is "bacterial SSU rRNA". It matches the Rfam family "Bacterial small subunit ribosomal RNA", at positions 338 to 916 of the family's 1533-position model. The record is from RNAcentral.
CCUACGGGAGGCAGCAGUAAGGAAUAUUGGUCAAUGGAGGCAACUCUGAACCAGCCAUGCCGCGUGCAGGAUGACGGCCCUAUGGGUUGUAAACUGCUUUUAUACAAGAGAAAACCCUGGUACGUGUACCAGGUUGAUAGUAUUGUAAGAAUAAGCAUCGGCUAACUUCGUGCCAGCAGCCGCGGUAAGACGAAGGAUGCAAGCGUUAUCCGGAUUCAUUGGGUUUAAAGGGUGCGUAGGCGGACUGAUAAGUCAGUGGUGAAAUCUCUUUGCUUAACAAAGAAACUGCCAUUGAUACUGUCGGUCUAGAGUAUAGAUGACGUUGGCGGAAUAUGACAUGUGGUGGUGAAAUACUUAGAUAUGUCAUAGAACACCGAUUGCGAAGGCAGCUAACGAAACUAUAACUGACGCUGAGGCACGAAAGUGCGGGGAUCAAACAGGAUUAGAUACCCUGGUAGUCCGCACCGUAAACGAUGAUUACUCGUUGUUGGCGAUAUGACAGUCAGCGACCAAGCGAAAGCGAUGAGUAAUCCACCCUGGGGAGUACGCCGGNAACGGUGAAACUCAAAUGAAUUGACGG